CGCCUGGGGAGUGCGGCCGCAAGGUUAAAACUCAAAUGAAUUGACGGGGGCCCGCACAAGCGGUGGAGCAUGUGGUUUAAUUCGACGCAACGCGAAGAACCUUACCUGGCCUUGACAUCCAGAGAACUUUCCAGAGAUGGAUUGGUGCCUUCGGGAACUCUGAGACAGGUGCUGCAUGGCCGUCGUCAGCUCGUGUCGUGAGAUGUUGGGUUAAGUCCCGUAACGAGCGCAACCCCUAUCCCUGGUUGCUAGCAGGUAAUGCUGAGAACUCCAGGGAGACUGCCGGUGACAAACCGGAGGAAGGUGGGGAUGACGUCAGGUCAUCAUGGCCCUUAUGGCCAGGGCUACACACGUGCUACAAUGGCGCGUACAGAGGGCUGCCAACUCGCGAGAGUGAGCCAAUCCCUUAAAACGCGUCGUAGUCCGGAUCGGAGUCUGCAACUCGACUCCGUGAAGUCGGAAUCGCUAGUAAUCGCGAAUCAGAAUGUCGCGGUGAAUACGUUCCCGGGCCUUGUACACACCGCCCGUCACACCAUGGGAGUGGAUUGCACCAGAAGUAGUUAGUCUAACCUUCGGGAGGACGAUUACCACGGUGUGGUUCAUGACUGGGGUGAAGUCGUAACAAGGGUAACCGUA
Molecule: ribosomal RNA, 636 nt
Filed under: uncultured Marinobacter sp.
Lineage: Bacteria; Pseudomonadati; Pseudomonadota; Gammaproteobacteria; Pseudomonadales; Marinobacteraceae
Description: bacterial SSU rRNA
Rfam family: Bacterial small subunit ribosomal RNA
Source: RNAcentral